Molecule: ribosomal RNA, 253 nt
Filed under: uncultured bacterium
Lineage: Bacteria
Description: partial 16S ribosomal RNA
Rfam family: Bacterial small subunit ribosomal RNA
Source: RNAcentral
UACUUAGGGUGCUAGCGUUACUCGGAAUUACUGGGCGUAAAGCGUGCUCAUGCGGUCUGUUAUGUCUGAUGUGAAAGCCCCGGGCUCAACCUGGGAAUGGCAUUGGAAACUGGCAGGCUCGAGUUUGGCAGAGGGGGGUGGAAUUCCGCGUGUAGCAGUGAAAUGCGUAGAGAUGCGGAGGAACACCGAUGGCGAAGGCAGCCCCCUGGGCUAAGACUGACGCUCAGGCACGAAAGCGUGGGGAGCAAACAGG